CAUGCACGGUCGUAAUUGUCACAACAUUGUCAUUCAAUCGGCAUGUGCACUGCCCACUAUGCACAUGCACGGUUACAUCAAUUACACAAAAUUACUUAACAAUACAUAUCAUACAUUACUAUUUUUUUUAUAUAUACAUGUCAGUAUCAUAUAUAGGUACAUAGAUUCAUCACAAUCAUGUUCCACAUCACAAAAACAUUUCAGUAAAGGCUUGUUCCCAUGCAUAUUUAUAGAAAAACAAUUAAACUAUCUCAAUCAACCAC
RNAcentral lists this long non-coding RNA (263 nucleotides) under Theobroma cacao (cacao). Its description in RNAcentral is "long non-coding RNA (TCAC_LNC000444)". The record is from RNAcentral. Lineage: Eukaryota; Viridiplantae; Streptophyta; Magnoliopsida; Malvales; Malvaceae.